UUCAGAUAUAAACUCCUCCGUUUUUUUCCGCUCCGUGUUUUCAUUUUAGUCUCUUCUCUCUAAUUUUUGAAGAUUUAAAUUUUGUUCGCAUGACUUCCUAGAUGAUUGAUGUUGCAUAAUUGAAGAAUUUCGGUUCGAAGUAACGAAACGAAUGGGUGUGUUUCCUUUUUAUAUUAUAGGAGGAAGGAGAUUUUUCAAUAAUAUGAAGUUUCGAUCGAUUAGAAUGAAUAAUGUGCGCCCUCUCAAAUUAUUAUUAAUCCUUUUGUAUGACGUCACGCAUCUUACCGGAUGAUACAAUUACCACACAUCGAUUUAGACGGUGAUUACGCGUAAGUGAUUCAAUUGUUUUCUUUUUUAUUGAUGAAAAUUUUAACCAAUGAGAGAUUGGGUUAAAGAAUAAAAAGAAGUAAUGAUAAAAGAGGCGUUAUUGUUGAUAUGUCUCCCAGGAAACGACAAUCGCAACAAAACAUUUGUUUGUAGACUUUAUAUAUCGAAACAUCACAAAAGAAAAUGAGUUGACAUAAUACUAGUUUCUAAUAAAAAGAAUAAAGUUUCGUACAAAUGAUAGCAUUUCUCCUUUUUUUUAAUUUUAGUUUCUAUUUUUAAAAUAAAUAUUGAUACAGUUGCACAAUUUUCGUUUCUGUUGGUUCAAAGACAGAACUUUUCAAACAAUGGCAGCAAUCUCAAGAGCAUAGA
Molecule: long non-coding RNA, 696 nt
Organism: Centruroides sculpturatus (bark scorpion)
Lineage: Eukaryota; Metazoa; Arthropoda; Arachnida; Scorpiones; Buthidae
Exons: 3
Source: RefSeq, a predicted model, not a curated record